AUUGAACGCUGGCGGCAGGCCUAACACAUGCAAGUCGAACGGUAACAGGAAGAAGCUUGCUUCUUUGCUGACGAGUGGCGGACGGGUGAGUAAUGUCUGGGAAACUGCCUGAUGGAGGGGGAUAACUACUGGAAACGGUAGCUAAUACCGCAUAACGUCGCAAGACCAAAGAGGGGGACCUUCGGGCCUCUUGCCAUCGGAUGUGCCCAGAUGGGAUUAGCUAGUAGGUGGGGUAACGGCUCACCUAGGCGACGAUCCCUAGCUGGUCUGAGAGGAUGACCAGCCACACUGGAACUGAGACACGGUCCAGACUCCUACGGGAGGCAGCAGUGGGGAAUAUUGCACAAUGGGCGCAAGCCUGAUGCAGCCAUGCCGCGUGUAUGAAGAAGGCCUUCGGGUUGUAAAGUACUUUCAGCGGGGAGGA
RNAcentral lists this ribosomal RNA (424 nucleotides) under uncultured Escherichia sp. RNAcentral describes it as "bacterial SSU rRNA". It matches the Rfam family "Bacterial small subunit ribosomal RNA", at positions 30 to 448 of the family's 1533-position model. Lineage: Bacteria; Pseudomonadati; Pseudomonadota; Gammaproteobacteria; Enterobacterales; Enterobacteriaceae. The record is from RNAcentral.